This is a long non-coding RNA of Polyodon spathula (Mississippi paddlefish), 947 nucleotides long. RefSeq lists it as uncharacterized. NCBI's taxonomy places the organism in Eukaryota, Metazoa, Chordata, Actinopteri, Acipenseriformes, Polyodontidae. The record is from RefSeq and is a predicted model, not a curated record. The transcript is spliced from 3 exons.
UUGCUUCAAAUAAUAAAUAUUUCAUCAAUUUGUGAUUUAAUAUGACAGGAUUACUAAUAUAGCAGGUAAAUGUGAUGAAAAGAAAACUGCUUAGGUAUGCAUGGCUCAGCUGUUUCUCUCUGACAUCAAACAUUACAGCAAUACACUACUGAAUAAUUAACAUCUUACUUACAAAUAUCAUUUUGGAAACAUAUGUCAAAAUCUAUAUACUGUACUGUACAGCAAUUUGUUUGAUGUCACUGCUGGUAUAAUGAGAUAAAGUCAAUAAAUCCUGGUGCGUGCCUCCAAUCACAGUAAGCAGCUAUUUUAACAAUUCAAACGCAAGAUGCAUGCUUUUUUUUAUGUUGAUAUUCACAAGCAUGAUUUUCUCAUAAAAGAUUAAACUCUGUAUUUGGAGCCUGCAGUUUUAUCCUGCAGAGUUCAUAUUUCAAAAACAUAUUUCUUUCUCUUUUCUACUCCAGUGCACUUGAAGGAGGAGAAAAGAUACAGAAUUUAUCUUCACUUGUAAUCUCUUACUUUCCCCAGGGAGAACUCCAGGGCCCAGUCAGCAGAAACACUAAAUGAAGGCCAACAGGCAUCUUCUGACUCCUUUAGACUUCAUGAGGCUAAGGGCUUAUAAAUCUGCUUUAGUCUACUGGGACAGAUAACAAAUCAAAUGCAAAUGUUUCCGACCAAUAACUGCAAGAAGCAGCUCUGAGGUGAACAGCCGUGAGGUGAAUAUCUGCUGAUUAGAGUCUACACCUGGUAAAUCACACACAACAGAAAAAUUAUUUUUAGACUCAGCUCACCACUACCACCCCUGCGCUGACUCAGGAGGGUUGAAGAUGAACACACGCUGUCCUCCAAAGUGGGUGCCAUCAGCCGCCUGCUUCUUCACACACUGCAGGCUCACCAUGUAGUCACCUCAGAGCUACAGCCGGAGGACAUCACAGCUCUGGGCAGCUUGC